GUGGGGAAUCUUAGACAAUGGGCGCAAGCCUGAUCUAGCCAUGCCGCGUGAGUGAUGAAGGCCCUAGGGUUGUAAAGCUCUUUCAGCUGGGAAGAUAAUGACGGUACCAGCAGAAGAAGCCCCGGCUAACUCCGUGCCAGCAGCCGCGGUAAUACGGAGGGGGCUAGCGUUGUUCGGAAUUACUGGGCGUAAAGCGCGCGUAGGCGGACUGAAAAGUUGGGGGUGAAAUCCCGGGGCUCAACCUCGGAACUGCCUUCAAAACUAUCAGUCUGGAGUUCGAGAGAGGUGAGUGGAAUUCCGAGUGUAGAGGUGAAAUUCGUAGAUAUUCGGAAGAACACCAGUGGCGAAGGCGACACACUGGCUCAUUACUGACGCUGAGGCGCGAAAGCGUGGGGAGCAAACAGGAUUAGAUACCCUAGUAGUCC
Molecule: ribosomal RNA, 425 nt
Filed under: uncultured bacterium
Lineage: Bacteria
Description: partial 16S ribosomal RNA
Rfam family: Bacterial small subunit ribosomal RNA
Source: RNAcentral